This 257-nucleotide ribosomal RNA is filed under the name uncultured bacterium. Its description in RNAcentral is "partial 16S ribosomal RNA". It matches the Rfam family "Bacterial small subunit ribosomal RNA", at positions 524 to 776 of the family's 1533-position model. The record is from RNAcentral.
CACGUAGGGCGCAAGCGUUGUCCGGAAUUAUUGGGCGUAAAAGAGCUCGUAGGCGGUCUGUUGCGUCCGCUGUGAAAACUCGGGGCUUAACCCCGAGCCUGCAGUGGAUACGGGCAGACUAGAGGUAGGUAGGGGAGAAUGGAAUUCCCGGUGUAGCGGUGAAAAUGCGCAGAUAUCAGGAGGAACACCGAUGGCGAAGGCAGGUCUCCUGGGCCACUACUGACGCUGAGAAGCGAAAGCAUGGGGGAGCGAACAGG